AAGAAGGUGGCUGAGUGGUUUAAAGCGAUAGACUGUAAAUCUAUUUUCUUGAAAGAAAUUCGUAGGUUCGAAUCCUACUCUUCUUA
Molecule: transfer RNA, 86 nt
Filed under: Dipterosiphonia australica
Lineage: Eukaryota; Rhodophyta; Florideophyceae; Ceramiales; Rhodomelaceae
Description: tRNA-Tyr
Rfam family: tRNA
About the family: Transfer RNA (tRNA) molecules are approximately 80 nucleotides in length. Their secondary structure includes four short double-helical elements and three loops (D, anti-codon, and T loops).
Source: RNAcentral